CCUACGGGAGGCAGCAGUCGGGAAUAUUGCGCAAUGGAGGAAACUCUGACGCAGUGACGCCGCGUGCAGGAAGAAGGUUUUCUGAUUGUAAACUGCUUUAUACAGGGAAGAAAAAAGCCAUUACCUUUAGAAUACGCUCCGGCUCAAUACGUGCCAGCAGCCGCGGUAAUCCGUCGGGAGCAAGCGUUAUCCGGAUUUAUUGGGUGUAAAGGGUGCGUAGCCGGAGAAGCAAGUUAGUUGUGAAAUCCCUCGGCUUAACUGAGGAACUGCAACUAAAACUACUGCCCUUGAGUACUGGAGAGGAAAGUGGAAUUCCUAGUGUAGCGGUGAAAUGCGUAGAUAUUAGGAGGAACACCAGUGGCGAAGGCGACUUGCUGGACAGUAACUGACGUUGAGGCACGAAAGUGUGGGGAGCAAACAGGAUUAGAUACCCUUGUAGUC
This 441-nucleotide ribosomal RNA is filed under the name uncultured bacterium. RNAcentral describes it as "partial 16S ribosomal RNA". It matches the Rfam family "Bacterial small subunit ribosomal RNA", at positions 338 to 795 of the family's 1533-position model. The record is from RNAcentral.